UACGUAGGGACCAAGCGUUGUUCGGAUUUACUGGGCGUAAAGGGCGCGUAGGCGGCGUGUUAAGUCACUUGUGAAAUCUCUAAGCUUAACUUAGAACGGUCAAGUGAUACUGAUGUGCUAGAGUGCAGAAGGGGCAACCGGAAUUCUUGGUGUAGUGGUGAAAUGCGUAGAUAUCGGGAGGAACACCAGUGGCGAAGGCGACUACCUGGCCUGUUCUUGACGCUGAGGCGCGAAAGCUAGGGGAGCAAACGGG
RNAcentral lists this ribosomal RNA (253 nucleotides) under uncultured bacterium. RNAcentral's name for it is "partial 16S ribosomal RNA". It matches the Rfam family "Bacterial small subunit ribosomal RNA", at positions 524 to 776 of the family's 1533-position model. The record is from RNAcentral.